UAUCUCUGUAGAGUCUGCAUAUCAAUAAGCGGAGGAAAAGCCGGUGAGUUGCAUGAGUACGCGCAGAAUGGCGGCUGCUGGCGAUAUGCAUGGUGAUGCUGGUGACGCACAGCAGUCGCAGGCGCAGCGGGACUUCUGUUUUCGGAUGAAUACGAUGCAGUGCGGCUGGCGCACCGUGCGUUGGCGGAGGAAUAUGGUAUCACUGAGGAGAUGCAGACCUAUUUUGCCCAAGAGGUAUGCGAGGAAAACGGCGUGACUAAGGUCAUUUUCAACGGCAUGACAGGUAUGUCUCAUGUGCUGGGCGAGUACAUCGUGACCAUCGAGGACGGCAAUGCUACGGUUACAUGGUCGCAUGACGGGCAGUCUACCGAGGGGGAGCUUGACGCGCACGCAUGGGGCGCAAAGCAGCUUGAGAUCUUGCUGGAGAUGGCCAAGCAGGAAAAUGGUUUUUCCCGUGGCUAUCACAAUGGCGCAGGAGAUCCGCGCGCAGAUGGAUGGUGAAGAGCUGUACGGUGUCCAUCACCAAGGACGGCAAUGCGAGCAUUGUGAAACUCGAGGGAACGCAGAUUGAUCGGGCGGUUAUCAGUGUCAGCGAGGAGGAAGCCAUUGCGAUUGCCAAGCAGGCGUUUGCGCAUGAAUACGCCCUCACGCAGGAACAGCUUGACCUGAUGCUCUAUGAAAAGGACUACGCGGGCUAUACCUACGCUUAGGAUGUUGACUGAUAUGUAGUCGUA
Molecule: ribosomal RNA, 734 nt
Filed under: uncultured Neocallimastigales
Lineage: Eukaryota; Fungi; Neocallimastigomycota; Neocallimastigomycetes; Neocallimastigales
Description: partial large subunit ribosomal RNA
Source: RNAcentral